Molecule: long non-coding RNA, 1785 nt
Organism: Coturnix japonica (Japanese quail)
Lineage: Eukaryota; Metazoa; Chordata; Aves; Galliformes; Phasianidae
Source: RefSeq, a predicted model, not a curated record
UCAAAACAUACUGUGAUUUAUGGCCAAAGGUCCUUUUCCAUAGUGGCCCUUCAGUGGUGUGAUUUACCAUGUUUCUCAUCAGAAAAAUAAAGGUCUUCUCUUCUUGCAGUGCAUUUGUAGUGCCGGUAUGAACCAUGGUAAGUGGUAUAGACAGGGCUUAAGCUGAACUUGUCUCCAGGGAGGGAUGCCGAACUGGAGAAGGGAAUUUAGCAAAGUGCCUUUAAUAUGUGUGAUGAAUGGGUGACCUGAGGGGAUGGACCGCAGCAAAUGACCUUUGUGACAUCAGACCUCCUUUACCAUGACUUCAGUUAUUCUGUGAUCCCCGCAGAAAAGACCAUGAGAUCCAUCAUUACAAAUUCAAAAUGGCUGUGAAAGUUAUCUGACCUCGACCUGACCUGAUUUGCUUUCUGAUGCCAAGGCAUCCUCUCAGCUCCUCAGCCUCAUCUCCACAGCCCGCAGCUGAUGUCUCCUCUCACACAACAACAAAACAUGCUACUACAGCUGGCUGAGUCACGGUUUGGCACAUCACAAGACAAUGUCAUCUCCUAGCAACGGAGAAAAGACCAUAGAGGAAGCCUAGAAGAAAGCACAGUGCUGGCAGUGAGCUCAUGCCAGUCAGAAAGAAUGGCAACAGAAACCUUGAGGAGGUUAUCAAAAUACAUAAAUCUGGGAAUAAAUGAGUAGACAGGCUGCUUUGAAGAGGACAAACCGGAGGUAGAACCUCAUACAAAGGUCUGAUAAAGACCAUCCAAGCUACUGAGUCUCUUCUACAGGGAUCGCAGGUGACUAUGCAAACUCCAGAAAGCUCCCUGAAAUCUUUAUUCAUACCCUCGCAGGCCAUGAAGGAUGCAGAACAACAUGAAUAUCCUGGCUACAGCAGAGAUGAGGCCCUUUCCUUACCUAACAUUCUUUUAUUGAGGAAAAAAAAUAUCACCAAAAAUGAAUGAAACUCACUUUUUCUUUGCAACUCAAGAGAAGGAAUAGUGUCUAUGACUGCAGAAGGUUGGAAGGGGCAGAAGUUUCUCUGUCUCUAGGAAACAUUAAACUGAGACUGAAUCCAAUUCUAACACUCAGCCUGACUUAGUGGACUGUUUUGAAGACUGCUGAGUGGAGCUCUCUGGUUUGAUCCUCAAAGAUAGCAGAUCAUCAGGUUCCUUUCUGGCUUUAAAAUAUUUAUUUUCUGCAAAGCUUAAAGGGUCUUCUAUUCUCUGCAUUGCCCAGAGGCAAGGAUCUUUCUUAGAGGUGUUUGGAAAAUUACUACACGAAAGAGAGAAGGAGGGUUGCAGUAUUUCAAAACAUGGGAGUUAGAUGCAUAUAAGUAUCUAUUUAUGGUUUGGGUAUCCAAAAGGCACCUUAACUCAUAAAGCCAUGUAUAGAUCUGACCCCUCCAAAUAUGGGGUUUUGAAAUAAGGAAUUAUCUUUAAUUUUUGGUGGAAGUUCUGGGAGAAGGCAACAGAGCCAUGAAACCUCUUUAAAAAACCAUUAUUUUGUAGAUAUUAGGAAAUCUGUCCAGGCAGAAAGUAUCCCACCCUAAAACUAGCACAGUUGCUUGAAUGCUCAGUGCCAACACUGUCUAAACAUAAUGGAAAUAUGGAUGCAAGAAUCCAUCUGUUAAGCUCCAGUAUUUUUUUAAGUCUUACAUGGCCAUAAGGCAGAAGACAACUUUAACAAUCUCCAACCUAAGGUAUCAGUGAGAUCUCAGAUUGACCUUAUUCUGCCUCCUGUACAGCUCUUUCCUAACAACACAUUUGCCUCUGGGUAUUAUAUUGUCUCGACGCAAUCCUU